GGCCUCGUGGUCUAGUCGCUAUGGGUGCGAGAGGUCCCGGGUUCGAUUCCCGGUGAGGCCC
Phytophthora infestans T30-4 is the source of this 61-nucleotide non-coding RNA. NCBI's taxonomy places the organism in Eukaryota, Oomycota, Peronosporomycetes, Peronosporales, Peronosporaceae. The record is from Rfam.